CAGGACCAGCUGCUACCCCGACAAAGAUAAAAGGCUGUCGGACGCUGCCCCAGGUUGCAGAAGCAACAUUGCUGUAUGCUAGAUCCUGCCUGAGAUCCUGUACCUGUCCUUGCCUGGUUUCCUGCCUCAGCCCUGUCGGACUCACUCCUAGAGGAACCUUUGGAUUCUGAACCGGUCCUGGACUGUGCUUCACGGGUUACCCCUGGGCCCAUCACAGUUGCUUCCAUAGUAGUAUUAGUCCCUAAGGUUUCUUAGGAGAGGUCUCUCUGUAACUGUCUGAGGCCUAUUACGAGGUUAUGAAAAAUAAAAAUAUCCCAUGUAGCUCUUUGUUUCCCUGGAGGCUCUGCAUACCUCCUGCCAGAGGAGGAUGGCCC
Long non-coding RNA from Podarcis raffonei (Aeolian wall lizard), 374 nucleotides. RefSeq lists it as uncharacterized. The record is from RefSeq and is a predicted model, not a curated record. NCBI's taxonomy places the organism in Eukaryota, Metazoa, Chordata, Lepidosauria, Squamata, Lacertidae. The transcript has 2 exons.